AGUUAAGUGACUAAGCGUACACGGUGGAUGCCUAGGCAGAAGAAGGCGAUGAAGGACGUAGUAACUUGCGAUAAGCCACGGGGAGUCAGUAAACAUGCAUUGAUCCGUGGAUUUCCGAAUGGGAAAACCCAUCCAUUUAUGGAUAUCCCCCUAGUGGGGAGGCUAACCCGGGGAACUGAAACAUCUAAGUACCCGGAGGAAAAGAAAUCAACCGAGAUUCCCUAAGUAGCGGCGAGCGAAAGGGGACCAGCCCUUAAGCUGGUAUAAGAAUAGUAGAAUGGUCUGGAAAGUCCAACGAUACAAGGUGAUAGUCCUGUAUACGAAAUUCUUUUAUCAGUGAAAUCGAGUAGGACGGGACACGAGAAAUCCUGUUUGAACAUGGGGGGACCACCCUCCAAGGCUAAAUACUCUCUUCUGACCGAUAGUGAACCAGUACCGUGAGGGAAAGGCGAAAAGAACCCCUGAAGGGGAGUGAAAUAGAACCUGAAACCGUGUACGUACAAGCAGUAGGAGCAUACUUGUUAUGUGACUGCGUACCUUUUGUAUAAUGGGUCAGCGACUUACAUUAUGUAGCGAGGUUAACCGAAUAGGGGAGCCGUAGGGAAACCGAGUCUUAAAUGGGCGAUAUAGUUGCAUGGUGUAGACCCGAAACCGGGCGAUCUAUCCAUGGCCAGGUUGAAGGUUGGGUAACACCAACUGGAGGACCGAACUCACGUAUGUUGAAAAAUGCGGAGAUGAGCUGUGGAUCGGAGUGAAAGGCUAAUCAAGCCCGGAGAUAGCUGGUUCUCCUCGAAAACUAUUUAGGUAGUGCCUCAUGUAUCACUGUUGGGGGUAGAGCACUGUUAUGGUCUAGCGGUCCGUCAAGGAUUAGCAGCCCAUUGCAAACUCCGAAUACCAACAAGUGCAAUCAUGGGAGACAGACAGCGGGUGCUAACGUCCGUUGUCAAGAGGGAAACAACCCAGACCGCCAUCUAAGGUCCCUAAAUAUUACUCAGUGGGAAAGGAUGUGGGAAGGCUCAGACAGUCAGGAGGUUGGCUUAGAAGCAGCCACCCUUUAAAGAAAGCGUAAUAGCUCACUGAUCGAGUCGGCCUGCGCCGAAGAUUUAACGGGGCUAAGUAAUAUACCGAAGAUGCGGAUGCAUAUUUAUAUGCAUGGUAGAGGAGCGUUCUGUAAGCCUGCGAAGGGGCACUGUAAGGUGUCCUGGAGGUAUCAGAAGUGCGAAUGCUGACAUGAGUAGCGAUAAAGGGAGUGAAAAGCUCCCUCGCCGAAAGACCAAGGUUUCCUACGCAACGUUAAUCGACGUAGGGUUAGUCGACCCCUAAGACGAGGCCGAGAGGCGUAGUCGAUGGGAAGCAGGUUAAUAUUCCUGCACUAUUUAUUACUGCGAUGGAGGGACGGAGUAGGCUAAAUCAGCCUGGCGAUGGUUGUCCAGGUUUAAGAUUGUAGGCAGAGAGAUUAGGCAAAUCCGGUCUCUUGUUAAUGCUGAGAAUUGAUGACGAGCUCUUUUUUGAGUGAAGUGAUUGAUGCCAUGCUUCCAAGAAAAGCUUCUAAGCUUCAGGUAAUAAAUAAUCGUACCCCAAACCAACACAGGUGGUCGGGAUGAGAAUUCUAAGGCGCUUGAGAGAACUCGGGUGAAGGAACUAGGCAAAAUGGUACCGUAACUUCGGGAGAAGGUACGCCCCACUCGGUGAUGAGAUUUACUCUCUAAGCUAGAUGGGGUUGCAAUAAAAUGGUGGCUGCAACUGUUUACUAAAAACAUAGCACUGUGCAAAAUCGAAAGAUGACGUAUACGGUGUGACGCCUGCCCGGUGCCGGAAGGUUAAUUGAUGGGGUUAUCUUCGGAGAAGCUCUUGAUCGAAGCCCCGGUAAACGGCGGCCGUAACUAUAACGGUCCUAAGGUAGCGAAAUUCCUUGUCGGGUAAGUUCCGACCUGCACGAAUGGCGUAAUGAUGGCCACACUGUCUCCACCCGAGACUCAGCGAAAUUGAAAUCGCAGUUAAGAUGCUGCGUACCCGCGGCUAGACGGAAAGACCCCGUGAACCUUUACUACAGCUUUGCACUGGACUUUGAUACUAUCUGUGUAGGAUAGGUGGGAGGCUAUGAAACCAUGACGCUAGUUGUGGUGGAGCCAAUCUUGAAAUACCACCCUGAUAUUAUUGAGGUUCUAACCUGGGCCAGUGAAUCCUGGUCAGGGACAGUGUAUGGUGGGUAGUUUGACUGGGGCGGUCUCCUCCUAAAGAGUAACGGAGGAGCGCGAAGGUACCCUCAGCACGGUCGGACAUCGUGCAAUGAGCGCAAGAGUAAAAGGGUGCUUGACUGCGAGACUGACACGUCGAGCAGGUGCGAAAGCAGGUUCUAGUGAUCCGGUGGUUCUGUGUGGAAGGGCCAUCGCUCAACGGAUAAAAGGUACUCCGGGGAUAACAGGCUGAUACCGCCCAAGAGUUCAUAUCGACGGCGGUGUUUGGCACCUCGAUGUCGGCUCAUCACAUCCUGGGGCUGAAGUCGGUCCCAAGGGUAUGGCUGUUCGCCAUUUAAAGUGGUACGCGAGCUGGGUUUAGAACGUCGUGAGACAGUUCGGUCCCUAUCUGCCGUGGGCGUUGGAAAUUUGAGGGAGGCUGCUCCUAGUACGAGAGGACCGGAGUGGACGAACCGCUGGUGUUCGGGUUGUUAUGCCAAUAGCAUUGCCCGGUAGCUACGUUCGGAAUGGAUAACCGCUGAAAGCAUCUAAGCGGGAAACCAGUCCCAAGAUUAGAUUUCCCUAGACUUUAAGUCUUCUGAAGGGCCGUUAGAGACUAUGACGUUGAUAGGCAAGGUGUGGAAGAGCAGUAAUGUUUGAAGCUAACUUGUACUAAUUACCCGUGAGGCUUAACUAU
RNAcentral lists this ribosomal RNA (2874 nucleotides) under Thiomicrorhabdus sp. RNAcentral's name for it is "23S ribosomal RNA". It matches the Rfam family "Bacterial large subunit ribosomal RNA". The record is from RNAcentral. Lineage: Bacteria; Pseudomonadati; Pseudomonadota; Gammaproteobacteria; Thiotrichales; Piscirickettsiaceae.